GCCCGGAUGGUGAAAUUGGUAGACACAAGGGACUUAAAAUCCCUCGCUGCUAACGCGGCGUGCCGGUUCGAUUCCGGCUCCGGGCACCA
RNAcentral lists this transfer RNA (89 nucleotides) under Georgfuchsia toluolica. Its description in RNAcentral is "Leu tRNA". It matches the Rfam family "tRNA". From Rfam's summary of the family: Transfer RNA (tRNA) molecules are approximately 80 nucleotides in length. Their secondary structure includes four short double-helical elements and three loops (D, anti-codon, and T loops). Lineage: Bacteria; Pseudomonadati; Pseudomonadota; Betaproteobacteria; Nitrosomonadales; Sterolibacteriaceae. The record is from RNAcentral.